This 163-nucleotide non-coding RNA is filed under the name uncultured Clostridium sp. The record is from RNAcentral. Lineage: Bacteria; Bacillati; Bacillota; Clostridia; Eubacteriales; Clostridiaceae.
UACGGUCUUUAUGAUAAAAGGGAAUGCGGUGAAAAUCCGCAGCAGCUCACUUCUACUGUAAGAAGGACGAAAUACUCGUGGAAUUUCUGUUUCCAAUCACUGGGCAACCGGGAAGAUGUAGUAAAGUAGGAAGAAUUCAAAGCCAGGAGACCUGCCGUAAAUA